GUGCUUGCUUCGGCAGCACAUACACUAAAAUUGGAACGAUACAACAUACACUAAAAUUGGAACGAUACAGAGAUUAGCAUGGCCCCUGUGCAAGGAGAAUGAAUCUUCCAUAAUGUUCAGCAAAAGAAG
Molecule: small nuclear RNA, 129 nt
Filed under: Pongo abelii (Sumatran orangutan)
Lineage: Eukaryota; Metazoa; Chordata; Mammalia; Primates; Hominidae
Source: RNAcentral